This is a long non-coding RNA of Salvia splendens (bonfire salvia), 755 nucleotides long. RefSeq lists it as uncharacterized. The record is from RefSeq and is a predicted model, not a curated record. NCBI's taxonomy places the organism in Eukaryota, Viridiplantae, Streptophyta, Magnoliopsida, Lamiales, Lamiaceae. The transcript has 2 exons.
GACGAUCAAUAAUCUAUUGUUUCUUCCCCAACUCCUCAAAGUAAUCGGUCGUCGUCCCCCCUGCAAAUUCUCAAUUUUUGUUCUUCAAUCUGUGGCCACGUUUCCGGUGACUUGAAAGGCCAAUUGUGUAUUCUCUACUAAAUCAAGGGGACGAGAACGAAGCACUCUCUCUCGGCUCAUCCGUGCGCCGGAAUUUAGCUAACGGCUAACACCGACCGCCUUAAUCGCUUCUCUCGGGUGUUCUGUGGGUACAAUUGGCAUGCCAUAGGACAGCAGCGCUGCAUUAUCUGAGAUAACUCGUCUUCUGGAUAACCGAAGCGAUGAUCGUAUGCUAUCUGCCAUCUGAUCUGUCUGAUAUGCACCCUCUUGGGUGGUCUGAUUAUCUGUUAUCUGAUCUGUCUGCACCCUGAAUGGGUGGUCUGUGCGGAGUCCUCUCGAGGACAAAAUUUGUGUCUGCAUCUGAUUCUGUUUCUGAUCUUGUCCGCGAACCCUAGUUUAUCACUAAGCACUUUAAGGGGCUAUACUUGUUAUGAUUGUGAUUUAUGUGAUGCGUAGGUGUGUUGAUAUGUGGAUAAAAAUAUAGUAUGUGUUUUGAUAUGUGAGAAUAUCAAUGACUGGUAUAUGUGUUUCUAUGCAUGAUAAUGUGCGAACUAGCAUAUGUGAUCAAACAAGUAAUAAUGUGUGAAUACAUGGAAUAUGUAUAUGGUAACUUUGGUACCCCGUGCUGAUAUAUGGAGUGUGAUUAGAUCUCGUUA